AGUGCAGUCGAACGAUGAUGCCCAGUCAUUGCUGGGUGGAUUAGUGGCGAACGGGUGAGUAACACGUGAGUAACCUGCCCCUGACUCUGGGAUAAGCGUUGGAAACGACGUCUAAUACUGGAUAUGAUCACUGGCCGCAUGGUCUGGUGGUGGAAAGAUUUUUUGGUUGGGGAUGGACUCGCGGCCUAUCAGCUUGUUGGUGAGGUAAUGGCUCACCAAGGCGACGACGGGUAGCCGGCCUGAGAGGGUGACCGGCCACACUGGGACUGAGACACGGCCCAGACUCCUACGGGAGGCAGCAGUGGGGAAUAUUGCACAAUGGGCGAAAGCCUGAUGCAGCAACGCCGCGUGAGGGAUGACGGCCUUCGGGUUGUAAACCUCUUUUAGUAGGGAAGAAGCGAAAGUGACGGUACCUGCAGAAAAAGCACCGGCUAACUACGUGCCAGCAGCCGCGGUAAUACGUAGGGUGCAAGCGUUGUCCGGAAUUAUUGGGCGUAAAGAGCUCGUAGGCGGUUUGUCGCGUCUGCUGUGAAAUCCCGAGGCUCAACCUCGGGCUUGCAGUGGGUACGGGCAGACUAGAGUGCGGUAGGGGAGAUUGGAAUUCCUGGUGUAGCGGUGGAAUGCGCAGAUAUCAGGAGGAACACCGAUGGCGAAGGCAGAUCUCUGGGCCGUAACUGACGCUGAGGAGCGAAAGCAUGGGGAGCGAACAGGAUUAGAUACCCUGGUAGUCCAUGCCGUAAACGUUGGGCGCUAGAUGUAGGGACCUUUCCACGGUUUCUGUGUCGUAGCUAACGCAUUAAGCGCCCCGCCUGGGGAGUACGGCCGCAAGGCUAAAACUCAAAGGAAUUGACGGGGGCCCGCACAAGCGGCGGAGCAUGCGGAUUAAUUCGAUGCAACGCGAAGAACCUUACCAAGGCUUGACAUACACCGGAAACGGCCAGAGAUGGUCGCCCCCUUGUGGUCGGUGUACAGGUGGUGCAUGGUUGUCGUCAGCUCGUGUCGUGAGAUGUUGGGUUAAGUCCCGCAACGAGCGCAACCCUCGUUCUAUGUUGCCAGCGGGUUAUGCCGGGGACUCAUAGGAGACUGCCGGGGUCAACUCGGAGGAAGGUGGGGAUGACGUCAAAUCAUCAUGCCCCUUAUGUCUUGGGCUUCACGCAUGCUACAAUGGCCGGUACAAAGGGCUGCGAUACCGUAAGGUGGAGCGAAUCCCAAAAAGCCGGUCUCAGUUCGGAUUGAGGUCUGCAACUCGACCUCAUGAAGUCGGAGUCGCUAGUAAUCGCAGAUCAGCAACGCUGCGGUGAAUACGUUCCCGGGCCUUGUACACACCGCCCGUCAAGUCAUGAAAGUCGGUAACACCCGAAGCCGGUGGUCCUAACCCUUGUGGAAGGAGUCCGU
RNAcentral lists this ribosomal RNA (1395 nucleotides) under Curtobacterium sp. RNAcentral describes it as "bacterial SSU rRNA". It matches the Rfam family "Bacterial small subunit ribosomal RNA". The record is from RNAcentral. Lineage: Bacteria; Bacillati; Actinomycetota; Actinomycetes; Micrococcales; Microbacteriaceae.